UACGGGGGGAGCAAGCGUUGUUCGGAUUUACUGGGCGUACAGGGCACGCAGGUGGCUGCAUAGGUGGCGUGUGAAAGCCCCGCGCUUAACGCGGGGAGGCCACGCCAAACGGUGCGGCUCGAGCGAUGCAGAGGGUGGUGGAAUUGCCGGUGUAGUGGUGAAAUGCGUAGAGAUCGGCAGGAACACCAAGGACGAAGGUAACCACCUGGGCAUCAGCUGACACUCAUGUGCGACAGCGUGGGGAGCGAACCGG
Molecule: ribosomal RNA, 253 nt
Filed under: uncultured bacterium
Lineage: Bacteria
Description: partial 16S ribosomal RNA
Rfam family: Bacterial small subunit ribosomal RNA
Source: RNAcentral